AUGGUUCCGUCCGGCCCCUCCUCCCGGCUCGCGGGGCAGGCCGGGAAGGCGGCGGCGGCCGGGCCGGACCCCCGCCAGGUAGCGCGGCUGGCUUUGCGGCCUAGGGCGAGCAGGAGCCUCCCCGACCGAGCCUCCCGCCGGGCCAGCGCCGCUCCCGGGCCUCGGACCCCGAAAGCCCAAGGGCAUCGGGACCCUUUCCUCGGCGGCGGGUGGUAACUGUGUUAUAAAGAUAUGGAAGUAAAACCUUUAUUUAAGGUAAAGGGGGGAAGGGAUGACACUGAUGAAUUAAAUAUGCAAACAAUCCAGACUUCAUUUGAGCGAGUAGCUUCCGAGUAGAAAAAGUAACCUCUGGGUGUAAGCGGAGUAAGUCCGGCAGUCUAGCGGAGAAAUAACGGGGGUGGGAGUAGAAUUUAUGAACACCGAGAAUUUCCCCUCGAGACUGGAAGCUUGUCACGGGUAGGGAACGUGUCUGUUGCUUUUGUUCUGUCGAACUCUCCCAAGUAGAGGCGCUCCGUACGUAGUAGGCGCUCAAUAAAUACCAUCGAUCGAUUCAUCGGUUACCGCUUCCCCCCUCCAUUUUUCCGCCCUCCCGCCCGCACCUCAGUUCCGAUCGAUCCGGAGUCCCAGUUUGGGGCGGCGGAGUUGUUGAGAAGGCUAAUGAGCAGCACCCGAGAUAAGUAGCCAUGACCUGCAGAGUUUCACCCCUCCAGCUCGUCCCGGGGGCUCUGACGUUGUGCUGGUAAUAGAGGUGAAUUAUAUGCUCGCCCUGACGUGCGCUUCAGAGCAUUUUUAGUUGGAUUUUUAAAUUUUUUGGCCAAUUCGGUCAGCCUAUGUUGAGAGAAAACGUUUCCGCCUCUCUCGCUCCCUUCUGCGUCACCCCUGUCCUGGGAUUUGCUCCCGCAGCCCGUACGUCCGCGUCUGUCAUUUAUUUAUUUCUACUAACGACCGUCUACCCCUGUAGACUCUAAGCUCGUUGCGGGCCGGGAUCGUGUCUGCCGACUCUGGGCGAUUUGCCCUCUCCCAAGCGCUCAGUACGGUGCUCUGCACACAGGAAGCGCUCAAUAAGUACAGUCGGACGAUUGUCCCGGAGAACGCAGGUGGGAGCAGGUGCUGGGCUAGAAAGAUAUCCCUCCACCUCCCUCCUUCUAGGGAAAAAGCAAAUGGUAUUUGUUAAGCACGUACUCCGUGCCAGACACUGUACUAGUCGUCGGGGCAGAUACGAGCCAGUCGGGUCGGACACG
This 1241-nucleotide long non-coding RNA is filed under the name Ornithorhynchus anatinus (platypus). RNAcentral's name for it is "lncRNA (ENSOANG00000047379.1)". The record is from RNAcentral. Lineage: Eukaryota; Metazoa; Chordata; Mammalia; Monotremata; Ornithorhynchidae.